AUUGAACGCUGGCGGCAUGCCUUACACAUGCAAGUCGAACGGUAACAGGUCUUCGGAUGCUGACGAGUGGCGAACGGGUGAGUAAUACAUCGGAACGUGCCCAGACGUGGGGGAUAACGAGGCGAAAGCUUUGCUAAUACCGCAUACGAUCUAAGGAUGAAAGCAGGGGACCGCAAGGCCUUGCGCGUUUGGAGCGGCCGAUGGCAGAUUAGGUAGUUGGUGGGAUAAAAGCUUACCAAGCCGACGAUCUGUAGCUGGUCUGAGAGGACGACCAGCCACACUGGGACUGAGACACGGCCCAGACUCCUACGGGAGGCAGCAGUGGGGAAUUUUGGACAAUGGGCGAAAGCCUGAUCCAGCAAUGCCGCGUGCAGGAUGAAGGCCUUCGGGUUGUAAACUGCUUUUGUACGGAACGAAAAGGCUCUGGCUAAUACCUGGGGCACAUGACGGUACCGUAAGAAUAAGCGCCGGCUAACUACGUG
This 482-nucleotide ribosomal RNA is filed under the name uncultured bacterium. RNAcentral's name for it is "partial 16S ribosomal RNA". It matches the Rfam family "Bacterial small subunit ribosomal RNA", at positions 30 to 507 of the family's 1533-position model. The record is from RNAcentral.